Long non-coding RNA from Capsicum annuum, 221 nucleotides. RefSeq lists it as uncharacterized. Lineage: Eukaryota; Viridiplantae; Streptophyta; Magnoliopsida; Solanales; Solanaceae. The record is from RefSeq and is a predicted model, not a curated record. The transcript is spliced from 3 exons.
CUUUCAUGCUGUUUUCAUUGGGACAGAGGGCAGACGCAUCAACUGACUGGAGAGAAUUUACAAGUCCUGAGGGAAGAAAGUAUUACUACAACAAGGUUACUAGAACGUCCAAAUGGAGAAUGCCUGAUGAAGUCAAGUUGGCUCGUGAAAAGGACACCAUUUCGCACGCUUCUGAUUUUGGAUCCAUUUCUGUUGUUAAAACAUCAUCCCCUAGUGCAGAU